RNAcentral lists this ribosomal RNA (491 nucleotides) under uncultured bacterium. Its description in RNAcentral is "partial 16S ribosomal RNA". It matches the Rfam family "Bacterial small subunit ribosomal RNA", at positions 29 to 507 of the family's 1533-position model. The record is from RNAcentral.
GUGAACGCUGGCGGUAGGCCUAACACAUGCAAGUCGAACGGCAGCACAGUAAGAGCUUGCUCUUACGGGUGGCGAGUGGCGGACGGGUGAGGAAUACAUCGGAAUCUACUUUUUCGUGGGGGAUAACGUAGGGAAACUUACGCUAAUACCGCAUACGACCUACGGGUGAAAGCAGGGGAUCUUCGGACCUUGCGCGAUUGAAUGAGCCGAUGUCGGAUUAGCUAGUUGGCGGGGUAAAGGCCCACCAAGGCGACGAUCCGUAGCUGGUCUGAGAGGAUGAUCAGCCACACUGGAACUGAGACACGGUCCAGACUCCUACGGGAGGCAGCAGUGGGGAAUAUUGGACAAUGGGCGCAAGCCUGAUCCAGCCAUACCGCGUGGGUGAAGAAGGCCUUCGGGUUGUAAAGCCCUUUUGUUGGGAAAGAAAAGCAGCAGGUUAAUACCCCGCUGUUCCGACGGUACCCAAAGAAUAAGCACCGGCUAACUUCGUG